This 740-nucleotide non-coding RNA is filed under the name Cadlina umiushi. The record is from RNAcentral. Lineage: Eukaryota; Metazoa; Mollusca; Gastropoda; Nudibranchia; Chromodorididae.
AAAACUUUGUAUUGAUUAUAAGUUAGCUCAGGCAAGACUUCUAGCAUGGUAAUAAUAGUAUUUAAGAAACUAUAACCAGGAGAAAACUUUUUUAACCCAGCAAGAAACAUUAAACUAUAUUAGAAAUAAUAAUUUAAUUUAGCCUAAAUAAGUUGGACUAAUAUAGGUGCCAGCAGUCGCGGUCAUACCUAACAGCUUAGUUAACUCUUCUAGGCUAGCUUAAGAAAAUAAUUUUUAUAAGUAGGUGAAAUUAUUAUAAGAAUAAAUUUUAAUUUUCUAAUUUUUGGCUUAAGCUCUGAAGAUAAACUAGGAUUAGAUACCCUACUAUAUAGAGUAUAAAUUAUCGAGCCUAAGCACUAAGACUUUAACAGUUAAAACUUAAACUACAUGGCGGCAGUUGGAAAUUUCAGGGGAACUUGCCAAGUAAAUGAUAAUCCCCAAAAAAUUCUACUUUUAUUCAAAGUUUGUAUAUCGCCGUCUUCAGCAUUCAUUUAUGAUGAAUCCAAAAUGUUAAGAACAAAAAGACAGGUAAAGAUGCAACUUAUAUAGAAGUUUAGGUGAGUUACAAUAUUAAAUUUAUUUGAAAUUGUUUUGAAACAAAACAAAGAAACUGGACUUGAAAGUAAUAUAUAAAAAAAAUAUUUACUGAAUUUUUCAUCUAACUGUGUACAAAUCGCCCGUCGCUUUCGUUGAAAAAUGAAAUAAGUCGUAACACAGUAGGUGUACCGGAAGGUGUAUCU